UAUCUCCACAGAACUCAGAGGGUCCAAUCCA
This 31-nucleotide non-coding RNA is filed under the name Homo sapiens (human). Lineage: Eukaryota; Metazoa; Chordata; Mammalia; Primates; Hominidae. The record is from RNAcentral.